CCCUGUCAAAUUUGCUCUAAAUGCUUUGGUUUUAAAGAUAUAAGCCAAAAUAUACAUUUUACCCCUGUGUUCUAUUUUAGUAAUGGCGGCCAUCUUGGUUUGAUGGCCAGGUCAUCGGACACAUUUUUAAAACUACGGUAGAUACCCCAAGGAUGAUUGUGGCCAAGUUUGGUUAAAUUUGGCCCAGUAGUUUCAGAGGAGAAGAUUUAUGGAUGACUAACGCAGGACGAC
RNAcentral lists this long non-coding RNA (231 nucleotides) under Mytilus galloprovincialis (Mediterranean mussel). Lineage: Eukaryota; Metazoa; Mollusca; Bivalvia; Mytilida; Mytilidae. The record is from RNAcentral.